RNAcentral lists this long non-coding RNA (1631 nucleotides) under Homo sapiens (human). Its description in RNAcentral is "non-protein coding FAM53B-AS1:6". Lineage: Eukaryota; Metazoa; Chordata; Mammalia; Primates; Hominidae. The record is from RNAcentral.
AGGCAGUCCCACCCUGAGAAGGGACCAAGCACAGAGGCGGCCACUGCAGCCAACUGCACAGCUGGACCCGGGUAGGGCUCCUCCCUCGGGACCUCCAGAUGGCUCCUCACCCUUGAGGUCCCUUCUUUUUGGUCAGAGCUACUCUAGUCGCACCCACUCAGUCGUGAACUGGAGCAGCAGCCAGAGAGAGAGUAAGACAAUGGUGAAUGAGAAGAGGCCAGGUGACAGGAACCUGCAAGCUCAUCCAUCCACAAACAUCCACUGAGCACCUGCCACGGGCUGGGCCCCGUGCAUUCAACAACAAUCUUCAAUGUGUCUUCAUUUGUUUGCAACCGCUGAACACAGCUAUCUGAUAUCACUGUGGCCUGGGACUCUCAGCUUCCAGCAAGUGGGAGCCCCACCUGGCUCAUCCACUUCAAAAGAGGAUUGCAUGCUAAUGAAUUAAUACAUACAAGAAAGUGUUGCAAACUCUACAAUCCUAUAUAAAUCUUAAGAAGAUUAGAAGUUUACCAAAUGCUCUGUAAUGCAUUUUGAAGGGCUAUCCCUUAAAAGAAACUGGAAAUCAGCAAGACAAGCUUUUCCUUCUUUUAGUGUCUUUAUUUAGCCUGUACGUACUACUUGCACACAUUAGUUUCACAGUUAAUUUUACCGCCUUAAAAACAGGACUCAGAUCAAAACCUAAACAUGAGAACUCAGCCACUGACAGUGAUUUUCCUGGUGGCUCCCGGAAGUCAUUGCUCUCAGAGCUUCCAUUUCCCCCUCCCAUUAAGCAAAGGAAAUAGGAGGGGAAGACAGCAAUUCCACAAGGUCUUUGUGCACUUUGAAACUUUCGUAGCUUCAGUUGUUGGUGUGACAAAAGCAAUCUGUGGGCAGAAUCCAGAAGCAAGUAUAUGAACAUUUGGGGAAGGGUGUUGCUUAGUGGGUCACGUUGUCUCCUGCCAAAUUCUGUGACAACCCUAAAGUGCGAGAAGGGUUCCGAGGGGAGCCGAAUGCUGCAGUCAAGCUUCAUAUCCGCCAAGACAAAGGGAUUUAAUCUGCUUGGGGACGCUUCUGCUUGCUGAUUUUAUAUACUAACUAAGUCAUCUGAGUCUAAAGGAUAAAAGUUGAAAGCUGCCUAAGAACUUUAUCCAGGGCCUCUACUUUCCCAGACCAAGUUGAUACUGGAAAGAGAGUCUGGUGUUUCAACCAGAGUUCAGGACCCACGAAUGUGCAGCUUCUAUACUAUAGUGAACAUUUCAACGACUCCCACAGCCAGGGUUCCCAUGUCUUCAGGUCCUGCUGAGAAACAACUAACAAUCCUGCCAGCACCACCCUCAACACACAGAAAAAAAGAGGCAAAGAAAACCUCUUGCCGGGCGUGGUGGCUCACGCCUGUAAUCCCAGCACUUUGGGAGGCUGAGGCAGGCGGAUCACAAGGUCAGGAGAUCGAGACCAUCCUGGCUAACACGGUGAAACCCCUCUCUACUAAAAAUACAAAGAAUUAGCCGGGUGUGGUGGCGCACGCCUGUAGUCCCAGCUACUCGGGAGGCUGAGGCAGGAGAAUGGCGGGAACCCGGGAGGCAGAGCUUGCAGUGAGCCAAGAUCGUGCCACUGCACUCCAGCCUGGGUGACAGAGCGAGACUCCACCUCAA